Felis catus (domestic cat) is the source of this 994-nucleotide long non-coding RNA. RefSeq lists it as uncharacterized. The record is from RefSeq and is a predicted model, not a curated record. The transcript is spliced from 5 exons. NCBI's taxonomy places the organism in Eukaryota, Metazoa, Chordata, Mammalia, Carnivora, Felidae.
UGCAAGCCAGUAGGAAGAAGCCGCUGAACUCCUUGCCAGCCAGUAGGAGGAAGCCACUUGCCCUCACCAGCGAUCCUCCGUGAGGAAGGCAGAGUCUGUAGGACGGGGUCAGGGGUGCCUCGCUCCUGGCACCCGCAUGGACCGGAACUCAGAACAGCUCAUGGGCCCAGAAAUGGCAGUGAGGGGCUCAGCACUUUCACAGAUGACAUCCGGCAGCUGGGGACCCCCUACAGUGGCCAAACUGUGGGACGCCUAUGACCUUAAAAAAAAAAAAAAAAGUGUUAAAAAGAAAACCACAGGCCCCAAAUGGCAUCACUUAGGCCAAGCCGCCAAAUCGGGGCGGAUCACCUAACCAAACUGCGAUUUCAGCGUCCCGCAGAAAGGUCAGGAAAUGUCUGGUCGCCAGGGAGGUGAUCUGUCACACGGGCCCUCGCCAUCUCCCAAAGGAAGAUGAGAUCUGAAUAUUAAAUAUCAAAGGCAUGCGACGGAGUGGCACAACACAAACAAGUCUGUGGAGCGAGACCGACACUCAGAGAAAGGAGCCAGCUGCCAUGUGAAAUGCCCAACUACACGGAGAUCGACGUGCUGUGAAGCAGCCGGAGCCAGCAGUGUGGACAGAUCAUAGGGAGGAGAGCCAAGACACCUGGCUGGUGCCCCCAGCCCGUCAGCCAACGGAAUGCAGACACACAAACAGCUCCAGUGUUUUAGGUAACAAGCAAAAACUGGAAACAAGCCGGAUGUUCAUCACGAGAGGAAGGGACAAGCAGCUGACGGCGCGUCCAUAUAAUAGAACAGUGCUCCGCAGAGACCUGAGGCACACUAUUGGUACGUGCAACAGCAUGGCUGGAUCCCCGAAUGAACAUGCCGAGUAAAAGAAGUUGGACACGCACAGAAAGAGCACUUCACGUGUAGAUUUCAUUUGCCUAAAAUGCUAGAGACUGCAAAUUAAUCUCUAAUGACAGCAAGCAGAUCAGCGAUUGCCUGGUGUGAGGGG